Molecule: ribosomal RNA, 484 nt
Filed under: uncultured bacterium
Lineage: Bacteria
Description: partial 16S ribosomal RNA
Rfam family: Bacterial small subunit ribosomal RNA
Source: RNAcentral
AUUGAACGCUGGCGGCAUGCUUUACACAUGCAAGUCGAACGGCAGCGCGGGCUUCGGCCUGGCGGCGAGUGGCGAACGGGUGUGUAAUACAUCUGAACGUGCCCAGUAGUGGGGGAUAGCUCGGCGAAAGCCGGAUUAAUACCGCAUACGACCUGAGGGUGAAAGCGGGGGAUCUUCGGACCUCGCGCUAUUUUAGCGGCCGAUGGCAGAUUAGCUAGUUGGUGGGGUAAAGGCCUACCAAGGCGACGAUCUGUAGCUGGUCUGAGAGGACGACCAGACAAACUGGAACUGAGACACGGCCCAGACUACUACGGGAGGCAGCAGAGGGGAAUUGUGGACAAUGGGCGAAAGCCUGAUCCAGCAAGGCCGCGUGUGUGAUGAAGGCCUUCGGGUUGUAAAGCACUUUUGGCGGGAACGAAAAGGACUGUGCCAAUACCACGGUUCGAUGACGGUACCCGCAGAAUAAGCACCGGCUAACUACGUG